RNAcentral lists this ribosomal RNA (799 nucleotides) under Naupactus tarsalis. RNAcentral's name for it is "eukaryotic LSU rRNA". It matches the Rfam family "Eukaryotic large subunit ribosomal RNA", at positions 393 to 949 of the family's 3401-position model. The record is from RNAcentral. Lineage: Eukaryota; Metazoa; Arthropoda; Insecta; Coleoptera; Curculionidae.
GAGUACGUGAAACCGUUUAGGGGUAAACCUGAGAAACCCGAAAGGUCGAAGGGAGAAAUUCAUUCGCGUUUCGCCGUCGGCGUGAAACGGUCGCGCGACGGAAGACGCCCUCGGGUGUUUUCCGCGCCUUUCGUUUCGUCGAUCCGAUGGCGAACGCGUGCACUUUUCUCCUGGUAGGACGUCGCGAUCCGUUGGGUGUCGGUCUACGGCUCGCGGUGGAGUCCGAACGUACGGCUUGCCGUCUCACGUUCGAACCCGCGUGUCCCGGCUGACUCGCUCGACGGUAUACGAAAGGUUUAAGGCCGCUCUCGGAGCGUUCGACUCAUUGCAAGCACGUCGGAUGAUUGUCGGCGAUCGGACCUAGUGCCGAUUCUGACCUCCGGCGACUGUUGGCCGUGAAGUUCUCGGACAGACCUUAAGACCGAUCUGCGACGCUAUAGCUUUGGGUACUUUCAGGACCCGUCUUGAAACACGGACCAAGGAGUCUAGCAUGUGCGCGAGUCAUUGGGAAUCACUAAACCUAAAGGCGCAAUGAAAGUAAAAGUCCGCCUUGCGCGGACUUAGGGAAGACGGGCGGUUUACCCUUAAAAGUAGCCGCUCUGCACUCCCGGGGCGUCUCAUUCUCAUCGCGAGAAGAGGCGCACCAAGAGCGUACACGCUGGGACCCGAAAGAUGGUGAACUAUGCCUGGUCAGGACGAAGUCAGGGGAAACCCUGAUGGAGGUCCGUAGCGAUUCUGACGUGCAAAUCGAUCGUCGGAACUGGGUAUAGGGGCGAAAGACUAAUCGAACCAUCUAGUA